UCCAUCGUGGUGUAGUGGCUAACAUUGCUGUCUUUCAAGCUAUAAAGUUCACAGCAGCCCGGGGUUCGAUUCCCCGCGAUGGAA
This is a non-coding RNA of Stygiomarasmius scandens, 84 nucleotides long. Lineage: Eukaryota; Fungi; Basidiomycota; Agaricomycetes; Agaricales; Campanellaceae. The record is from the annotation of a GenBank genome assembly.